Molecule: non-coding RNA, 69 nt
Organism: Podarcis lilfordi (Lilford's wall lizard)
Lineage: Eukaryota; Metazoa; Chordata; Lepidosauria; Squamata; Lacertidae
Source: the annotation of a GenBank genome assembly
GAAGUAGCUCAGUGAUGGAGCAUUUGCUUUGCCCGCAGAAGGUUCCAAGUUCAAGCCCUGGAAUCUCCA